Molecule: long non-coding RNA, 1252 nt
Organism: Xiphias gladius (swordfish)
Lineage: Eukaryota; Metazoa; Chordata; Actinopteri; Istiophoriformes; Xiphiidae
Exons: 3
Source: RefSeq, a predicted model, not a curated record
GCUGUCACACUUCAGCAAAGCCAGGAGUAAACUGGAAAGCUUUACUUUCUUAUACGAGUGAUGGAUUAUACAUUUGGAAAUAACUGCAGUCUGAAGCCUCUCCAGUGUUUAAUGACAGUGUAAUGAGUGGUUUCCUGCGUUAUGGUGACAAUCCCAAGACCUGGCAACGAGAGUGGACUGUUAUCCCAAGGGCUGAGCCUCCAGUUCUCUCCCUGUAUGCUGUUCCACAGGAUGUGCUGCAGUGCGGAGGAUUCCCCUCAGGAGCUACAGGGUCAAACUUGUUUGUUUAGUUCGGCCCAAAACCACCCAUACUUUCUCCUGCGAUGGUCUAGACCUGAAACAGCGCUGGCUGGUCUGAAAGUUGCUGUGACUGGCAGGAUGCCAGUGUUUACACUGACUGGCUCUGACAUCACCAACAAUGGCUCCAGAUGUGGCAUUAAUGGUAACUUCAUUGAUGAAAGUGUCUCAAGUGGUGAGGAAUUUAUAAUCAAUGGCAACAAGGAAAACCACUCCUGAAUGUUUAGGCACUGUCGAAACUACUCAUUUAAGUAUGUACACGAACAUACAACAACAAGAAAGUUCAUUAAUGUUAGACAGUAGCUUUGAACUAAAUAUUGGGAAUUAAUUACAAAUGAAAUUUAGAACUGAGAACUGUGUUUUCUUUACAAGUGGCUGUGCACUUUAUUUUUUAAAUGGUUUACAGUAAUAUAAAUAAAGUGAAAGUGUUUUAACAUGAGUUAGGCUAUCCCUUCAACUACCAAGAUGUUUGCUCUGUACAGGUUGUCUAAGGUGCCAUGUUAUGUGGCAUGAAAAUAUGCUUAAAGUUCUUUUCUUACAAUGGACAGUAGAACACGUGAUUGCAUAACUUCACUGAUACAUAGAGGCUCAGUCAGAUCAUAAUGGUAUUAUAAAACACAUUCAAUUGAUCCCAUUUCUUAAAAGGUAAUUAAAGCAAUUGAAUAUUUACAGUCAAAAAAAUUACAGCUAAACAUCAUAAACACACUAAAUAAAAAAGAAUAAAUAAAAAAAUGAAAUGGAUAAGAAUGAGCGGAUAUCAACAAAUAAUGGUUUGGGAUGUACUCUACCACAAACUGUCUUGUUUGUGUCAUGUACACAGCACAUAGCAUGAUCAAAGCACCAUAUUAUCUUACUGUAGGGCAUGUUUCUGUCAGAAAGAGGGGAAAAAAACCUUUUCAGAAGUAACACUCACUUGAGAUGAGAUGUUACGUCAAUAAAAUUUCUUUUUCAGCAC